CAGACACAAGAAAUCUAUAUUGGGGAGC
Molecule: non-coding RNA, 28 nt
Filed under: Cricetulus griseus (Chinese hamster)
Lineage: Eukaryota; Metazoa; Chordata; Mammalia; Rodentia; Cricetidae
Source: RNAcentral